Molecule: long non-coding RNA, 1578 nt
Filed under: Homo sapiens (human)
Lineage: Eukaryota; Metazoa; Chordata; Mammalia; Primates; Hominidae
Description: non-protein coding lnc-SERP1-4:1
Source: RNAcentral
GCCGAAACGACUCCUCCUCCGUUGGCGGGAGCAGCAGCCGCCGCUGCCAGCUGCCCAUCUAGGAGGAGGUUUGGGGAGACGGUCCCGGGAGUCUCCGCAUCCCCAACAUUGUUAAGCGUCUCUUCGGAAGAGCUGCGCUCGCAGACCUCCUCAGGGCCAUAAUCCGUGGCCCGAGAGACGUCGAAAAUCUCGGAGGAGACGUCCUCUGUGCGUGACUCGUCCGGGUCGUCCAAGCUCUCGGUGUCCUCGGUGAUGCUAGUGGCCACCUGGGCCGUGGUGACACUGGUGAUCUGGAAGCAGCUCUUCUUCUUGGCCGGCAUCUUGGACAUGGUGAAGAAGGCUGGAGGGCAGAGAGGCACGCCGGCUCCUCUGGGUCCUGUCGGAAACCGGGGAGGGCAGAGCACGGGCCCCCAAAGACAAAGUCCGAGUCUGCGCUGGGGUCUGAGGCCCGCCGCUGUUAAGAGUCACGGGCUGAUCCAGGCGCUGGCCGCCCGGUGAGACAUCCUCCUCCUCGUUUCCUUCUCUGUGUCGGUCUCUUCGGCUCUGCCCCCGUCUCAGUCCCGCGGCGGCUCCUCCUUCCUUUUUAGCUCUCGCAGCCGCGGCGCCUCAAUUCAAUUCCCUCAGAGGCGGCGAGAGCGCGAACCCAGGGGCGGGCCGGCUGCUUCCUCUCUCGUCUCCGGGCAGCCGUGGUCAGUCCAGCUCGGCGCUCGGCGCGGUCAGCAGGCCUUGGCUGGGGGUGGGAGUGGGAGGGCGAAGAGGAGGAGGAGGAGGCGGUGGCGGCGGCGUGAGGGGCGGUGCUGCCCCGCUCGGGCUCCUCAGGCCGGUGCCGGCGUCAGCGCUGGGCUCUCUGACUGAGGGAAGGAGCGGCGAGUCCGGAGUCGGAGAUGCCUAAUUCAGCCGGGAGCCGCGGGCCGGAGCUGGCUGAAGGUCCGCGGGCGGGCGGUGGGGCUGUGGCGCGGGCAGGCGGCCCUCCCUCCCCGGCUCUAGCCGGAGCUCAGCCCCAGGGACAUGUCGACUGCCUCAGGCGGAAACCCGCUCUGGGGGAGGGGAAAGCCGGCUCGGUCCUCCCCUUACAGGGGGAACCACCCCUGCGGGCGGGCGGCGACGGCGGUCUCGGCCUCCCCUCGCGGCUUCUCUCAGAGAGGGGCGGCGGCGGCAGACCGCUGGCACGGGACCGGAGGCGCCCCGGCUGUGUGAGGUAGCGGUGGUGGCUUCUCCGGCUCCUCCUCGGUGCGCCCAAUUCCUAAACCCCGAAGAAACUGAAAUUCAAACUGCUGAAGCGGCGGCUGCAGCUCCCUCCGCUGGGCCAAGAUGGGGCUGAAAUGGCCGCGCCAGGGAUGCUGGGAGGAGCAGCAGCCCCGCUGCCGCCGCCGCUGCCGACUAAAAUGCCGCCGCUGCCGCAGCCACCGCCAGCGCCGCAGCCGCCGCCGUUCCGUGACGCACCGGCGUCGUGACGUCACCGCUCCGCCCCCUCCGGUUUCCUGCAGUUUCGCGUGGAACCUGGGGUGGGGGGCAAUGGGCGGGGCUAAAGGUUAAAAAAGGGAGCGGUUUCUUUAUUUAAAAUUUUUAAAAUUUAAA